CUUAAUCUAUUUUUUUUUUGGGCCAUUUUUCCAUGAAGCCAACAGAAAAUUGAAAAAAAUGCUACCAUGUCCAUUUGGGAGACUGCUGUUGGGGGAAAAACGUGAAAAAGGACACAUACUGGCAGUACUGUGUAUAAAGGUAUGUAGGGGAGAUUGGGGUAAAAUUAGCCAUUUUUCAUAUUUCAGAUCACUACAUCAAGGCAAUCAUAGUUUUGUCUCUGACUAGGGUAUCUGCACAUAUUUCAAGAUGUUGUGCAUCCCUGCAAACCAACUGUCUUGAUAAUAUAGCAUGCAAAAAAGCUGGUCUCCUAUGGUCAACUUAUCCCAGCCCCCCCUCACCUUCUCUCUCCCUAAAUAACAGUCACUUCUUCACAUUUAUGUGUAUUUUUAUCUAUUAUACACUAUUUAACUGGUACAAUAAUUCUUUUUAUUAUUAUUGCAUGUAACUGCUAAAAAGCUGUUUUGUAAAAAGCCAUUUAAUCAUGAGGAUUUCAAGUGAUUCAGAACAUUCACAGCUGUAUUUUUUAAUAGAAAAAGUAACACACUUCAACAAUCUGAACUGAAACUCUGAUCCUCUCAUCAGACUCCUUUACUUUCUCAGUUGAGCCACUGGCUCAACUUACCCCAGAACUACUAUGAUGACUUUAUUAAUCCUCUAAGGUAAAAUGGACUUUUAUGAUAGGUUUUUGACCUCAUGUUGUAGUUCAUAGAUACCACAAUUGAUGUAUAAAACAAAUUUAAAAUGAUCUUUUUUGGUCUGAACACAAUUCUAAUAAAAUGUAUGACAGACUAAAUUCACUUUUAAGAGUUAAAAAUGUUUUUUUUGGAAAUAAAUGUCUAACCCCUUCACCCAUGUGCUUCUAACCUUCACAGACUCCAUGAAUUGAUGCCCAUCUCCUAAAUAUUUGGUCACAUGAUCAAUUUCUUUUACCAUUUCCAAGCAACUGACCUACUGACUUAUGAUAUUGAACAGUAAAGUAGAUGUUUACAUCAUUUAAAAUAAAUGCUUUAUACAACAACCGACUACACAGGGAUUAGUGGUCAAUCUUUUUUCUCGUCUUUUCUCAAUCUAUUUAAUUAGCUUUUUUUUUUUUUUUUUUUUUCAUUUUUAGCAAUCUUACCGCGAGCUGCCCAAUUAGCAAACAGAAAAUUUCCAUUGUGAAGAAAUGCCACUAUAUCCAAUUGGGAGAUUUUACGAAGCUAUAGGGGGGAAAAACAUGAAAAAGGACACAUACUGGCAGUACUGUGUAUACAG
Molecule: non-coding RNA, 1255 nt
Organism: Xyrichtys novacula (pearly razorfish)
Lineage: Eukaryota; Metazoa; Chordata; Actinopteri; Labriformes; Labridae
Source: the annotation of a GenBank genome assembly